This is a long non-coding RNA of Sapajus apella (tufted capuchin), 168 nucleotides long. RefSeq lists it as uncharacterized. Lineage: Eukaryota; Metazoa; Chordata; Mammalia; Primates; Cebidae. The transcript is spliced from 2 exons. The record is from RefSeq and is a predicted model, not a curated record.
AGCUGGGCAUGGUGGUGCGUGCCUGUUGUCCCAGCUACCUGGGAGGCUGAGGCAGUGGAAUUGCUUGAACCUGGGAGGCGGAGUUUGCUGUAAGCCGAGAUAGCGCUGCUGUUUUCCAGCCUGGGCUACAAAAUGAGACUCCAUCUAAAAAAAAAAAAAAGAGAGAGA